RNAcentral lists this ribosomal RNA (3420 nucleotides) under Triticum aestivum (bread wheat). RNAcentral's name for it is "partial small subunit ribosomal RNA". The record is from RNAcentral. Lineage: Eukaryota; Viridiplantae; Streptophyta; Magnoliopsida; Poales; Poaceae.
AUGAGAGGGAAGAACAAGGAUGAUGAGAGUGACGAUAACGAGGAGGAGGAGGAGGAUGAUAGCGAGGAGGAGGACGAUGUAAUGAGGAGGAAUGUGGAUGUGAUGAAGGGGAAGAGCAAGGGGGGUGAUGAUGUGAUGAGGAAGAAGAAGGAGGAUGUGGAUGUGAUGAAGGGGAAGAACAAGGGGGGUGAUGAUGUGAUGAAGAGGAAGAAGGAGGAUGUGGAUGUGAUCAAGGGGAAGAACAAGGAGGAUGACAAUGGUAAUAGCCACGGCAGAUGCAAAUCCGUAGAGGAGGAGGCCGGUGGGGAGGACGACGGAAACACCAGUCACGACGACAGUUCUGAUGACAAUGCUGACGAAGAGGAGUCUGACGACACAACAGAUACAGAGACAGAGGAGGAGGAGGAGGAGGAGGAGGCGGGGGAGGAGGAAGAAGAAGAAUCUGACGAGGCAGAGCAGGAACGGCGUGUCGCGCCUAGACGCAACGGCGAGGCAGGGCAGGACCAGCGUGUCACGCCUGGCAGCAACGGCGAGGCCGGUGGGAGGGCCAGACCAGCCGUCGAGGGCUUGCAGAGAGUCCGCAAGAGGAGAUUCGAGGGGUUGUGGAUCGUCGAGGAGCCCGACACCACCGCCCCCCCUCCCGGCCGGGGUCUCAUCAGUGAGCGGACACGGUCGCGCCUGAGCUGCUCCAACAAGAAACUGCUGAAACGUGGUACUGUAAGCAGGCCGGUCCUGCUCGACACAUCUUCCUCCGGCUCCGAGCCAGAGGAAGCCGUGCCACCGCCUCAGCCAUCCAGCUGGGCGGCCGAGGACGACAGCUCCGGCGAAGACAGAAGGCCGGCGAAGAAGAAGAAGAAGAGACGGUGCCGGGAGCAGAUCGCCCAAGGCGGGCUCUCAGAGGAAGAGGACGACCACAGCGACGACCCUGACGCUGAACCUGACGACGACAGAACCUUCCCAAGGAACGCCAGGAAGGGGCCGAGCUCAAGCCGGCCGAAGACCGGAGCGUCAAACCGGCAGCAGUCUGCUGCCAAGGAACGUGGCAACACCCACGCUGGUUCUUCUACCAACCCAAGACGCGCCAAGAAUCGCGCUGCAAACGCGGCAGAGGGGCGCGGUCUGCAGGAUGACAUUUUCUUCAAGAAAAGCUCACUGUCUCAUCGCAAGAGGAAGCAUACGGAGGAGGAGGACAUCCCUUGCAAUGACCUCCUCUCCAACUUAUUCGACGGGAUACCGAGCUACCGGAAUGGCUCUGCUCCUGCCGAUGCACAGCAGGGCGGCGGCGACACGAUGCCUCUGGUGUUCAAGUUCGGGGAGGAAGCUGAAGUGAAAUCAGAGCAUGACGAGCUCGAGGAUCAACUGUGGGGAGACUACGAUUUUGUCCUUGAAGCCAACAAUGCCAACGCUCACAGCUCCGAUGAGGUUGAAGAGAGCCAGGGGCAAGAUAUUCCAUCAGACCAAAAAACUUUAUGCAGUCAAGGGAAGCAUGAUUUAUUUACCGAUGACCAAAUUGGAACUUGGUGCAAGCACUGCAAAUUUGUUCUUGAAAUUAAAUAUGUAAUGGCCCCUAUGGGGAAUUAUUCAGCGGAAAGGGAACCAACGGCUCGCGAGCUGAACAUGGAUUAUAUUAUUUUUAAUGGCAUCCUAACAACAAUGGGGUAUGAAGGAGAGUACAUCACUGGCAGUCAUAAAAGUGGCCCUGUAUGGAAUCUCAUUCCUGGUGUCCGAGAAGACAUGUUCCCACACCAGCAGGAAGCCUUUGAAUUCAUGUGGAAGAAACUGGCCGGAGGUAUUGACAUUGAAGAGGUGAAGAAGUUUGUGAAAACUGAUACUCUAAGUGGCUGUGUGAUCUCUCACGCCCCAGGGACGGGGAAGACCAGAUUAGCAAUCACAUUUGUUCAAUCUUACCUCGAGCUUUUCCCGCAGUGUUUUCCGGUGAUCAUUGCCCCCAAGGGGAUGCUUGACACAUGGGAAACUGAGUUCAGAAAAUGGAAUGUGAAGAUACCUUUCCACAUACUGAAUUCCAGAGAUAUCCACUGGCAUGGAGAUAAAACCGUCGAAAAACUGGCCUCGAAUGAUAAGGAAUUGGCCCGGAGGCUGUCCAUAAGCAGCAUUGACAAGAAUUAUAUGCGCGCUCUGAAAUUGCGAUCAUGGGCUGAGGGGAGUAGCAUCAUUGGACUCAGCUACAGCCUGUUCCAGAAGCUCACCAAAGGAGAAGGCAAUGAUGAUGACAAGCUGAGGCAGAUGCUUCUUCAAAGGCCUGACUUGCUGAUCCUUGAUGAAGGACACACGCCAAGGAACAAGGAGAGCAAUAUUUUUAAGGCUCUUGCUGAAGUUCGUACAAAAAGGCGGAUUAUUCUAUCCGGGACACCAUUCCAGAACAACUUUGAAGAGCUUCGAAGCAUCUUUAGCCUGUUACUUCCGGCAAAUUAUGAAGCCAUGGAUUUCUUUCCUUCUUCGAAACUACACAACGUGACAGAUGUGAUGGUAGAAGAGAUCAGGAAAAAAUUGGACCCUUUUGUGCACAUCCAUAAUGGUGACAUUCUUCAAAAAUCCCUCAAAGGACUAAGAGAAUCUGUUGUGAUUCUGAAUCCUCUUCCCAGCCAGAAGAGGAUCAUCGCAAUGAUGGAGAAACAUAAGACACGUGGCAAACGUCCUCAAAAAGAAAAGACACAUAGCGGCACUUUUGAGUCAGAAUACAAGAUAUCUCUUGCGUCUGUACAUCCGUCCCUCGCUGCUGGCAUGAAAAAGUUGCCAAAAGAAGUAACAUCUGUUUUGGACGAGCUUCCAUUGGAGAGGUUACGGUUGAAGCCAAGUGAAGGAGUUAAGACGAGGUUUGUGUACGAGGUUGUGCGUCUAUGUCAAGCUUUAAAAGAGCGAGUGCUUGUCUUUAGCCAGUUUCUUGAACCACUGGAGUUGAUCAUGCAACAGCUGAGAAAAGCGUUCAACUGGACUAAAGGCAAAGAGAUCUUGUAUAUGAGUGGAAAAAUCUCCCCUAAAACCCGCAAAGCCUUGAUGGUGGCCUUCAAUGAUGUGGAGAGCGAGGCCAAGGUGAUGCUUGCAUCGACCAAGGCGUGUGGAGAAGGUAUCACCCUCGUUGGAGCGUCGCGUGUGGUGCUCCUCGAUGUUGUGUGGAACCCUUCUGUUGGAAGGCAGGCGAUUGGACGUGCAUAUCGUAUUGGUCAACAAAAGAUUGUCCAUACAUACAACCUAAUCGCAGAAGGAACACAGGAGAAGGCCAAAUAUGACACACAAGCUAAGAAGGACCAAAUGUCCAAAUUGCUGUUUUCAAGUGAGCCACAGCCCGCGGAGUGCAGCCGGUCAUCAGAGUUUAUUUCCAAUGACAGGAUUUUGGAACAGAUGACUGAAGAUGAAAAUCUGAAAGAGAUGUUUGUGAGUAUUCUCCCAUCGCAGUGGUGA